AGAGUUUGAUCAUGGCUCAGGACGAACGCUGGCGGCGUGCCUAAUACAUGCAAGUCGAGCGGUAAGGCUCCUUCGGGAGUACACGAGCGGCGGACGGCUGAGUAACGCGUAGGAACGUACCCCAAACUGAGGGAUAACUGCUCGAAAGAGUAGCUAAUACCGCAUGUGCUCUACGGAGUAAAGCUACGGCGGUUUGGGAACGGCCUGCGUACGAUUAGAUUGUUGGUGAGGUAAUGGCUCACCAAGUCGACGAUCGUUAGCUGGUCUGAGAGGAUGAUCAGCCAGACUGGGACUGAGAACGGCCCAGACUCCUACGGGAGGCAGCAGUAGGGAAUUUUCCACAAUGGACGAAAGUCUGAUGGAGCAACGCCGCGUGCAGGAUGAAUGCCUUCGGGUUGUAAACUGCUUUUAUCUGUGACGAAUAUGACGGUAGCAGAUGAAUAAGGAUCGGCUAACUCCGUGCCAGCAGCCGCGGUCAUACGGAGGAUCCAAGCGUUAUCCGGAAUUACUGGGCGUAAAGAGUUGCGUAGGUGGCAGAGUAUGUCUGUAGUGAAAGCGUGUGGCUCAACCAUAUACACAUUACAGAAACUGCUCAGCUAGAGGGCGAGAGAGGUUACUAGAAUUCCUAGUGCAGGAGUGAAAUCCGUAGAUAUUAGGAGGAAUACCGAUGGCGUAGGCAGGUAACUGGCUCGUCCCUGACACUAAGGCACGAAAGCGUGGGUAGCAAACGGGAUUAGAUACCCCGGUAGU
This 750-nucleotide ribosomal RNA is filed under the name uncultured bacterium. Its description in RNAcentral is "bacterial SSU rRNA". It matches the Rfam family "Bacterial small subunit ribosomal RNA", at positions 8 to 794 of the family's 1533-position model. The record is from RNAcentral.